AGUGAACGCUGGCGGUAGGCCUAACACAUGCAAGUCGAACGGCAGCACAGUAAGAGCUUGCUCUUACGGGUGGCGAGUGGCGGACGGGUGAGGAAUACAUCGGAAUCUACUUUUUCGUGGGGGAUAACGUAGGGAAACUUACGCUAAUACCGCAUACGACCUACGGGUGAAAGCAGGGGAUCUUCGGACCUUGCGCGAUUGAAUGAGCCGAUGCCGGAUUAGCUAGUUGGCGGGGUAAAGGCCCACCAAGGCGACGAUCCGUAGCUGGUCUGAGAGGAUGAUCAGCCACACUGGAACUGAGACACGGUCCAGACUCCUACGGGAGGCAGCAGUGGGGAAUAUUGGACAAUGGGCGCAAGCCUGAUCCAGCCAUACCGCGUGAGUGAAGAAGGCCUUCGGGUUGUAAAGCCCUUUUGUUGGGAAAGAAAAGCAGCAGGUUAAUACCCCGCUGUUCCGACGGUACCCAAAGAAUAAGCACCGGCUAACUUCGUG
RNAcentral lists this ribosomal RNA (492 nucleotides) under uncultured bacterium. Its description in RNAcentral is "partial 16S ribosomal RNA". It matches the Rfam family "Bacterial small subunit ribosomal RNA", at positions 29 to 507 of the family's 1533-position model. The record is from RNAcentral.